RNAcentral lists this ribosomal RNA (501 nucleotides) under uncultured bacterium. RNAcentral describes it as "partial 16S ribosomal RNA". It matches the Rfam family "Bacterial small subunit ribosomal RNA", at positions 30 to 523 of the family's 1533-position model. The record is from RNAcentral.
AUUGAACGCUGGCGGCAGGCUUAACACAUGCAAGUCGAGCGGAGAUGAGGUGCUUGCACCUUAUCUUAGCGGCGGACGGGUGAGUAAUGCUUAGGAAUCUGCCUAUUAGUGGGGGACAACAUUCCGAAAGGAAUGCUAAUACCGCAUACGUCCUACGGGAGAAAGCAGGGGAUCUUCGGACCUUGCGCUAAUAGAUGAGCCUAAGUCGGAUUAGCUAGUUGGUGGGGUAAAGGCCUACCAAGGCGACGAUCUGUAGCGGGUCUGAGAGGAUGAUCCGCCAAACUGGGACUGAGACACCGCCCAGACUCCUACGGGAGGCAGCAGUGGGGAAUAUUGGACAAUGGGGGAAACCCUGAUCCAGCCAUGCCGCGUGUGUGAAGAAGGCCUUAUGGUUGUAAAGCACUUUAAGCGAGGAGGAGGCUACUGAGACUAAUACUCUUGGAUAGUGGACGUUACUCGCAGAAUAAGCACCGGCUAACUCUGUGCCAGCAGCCGCCGUAA